GCCCUAUAACCACAAUAUGAGGUGAAACCUGCUCCAUGGCUGUAUAUAAAUUAUAAAAACAGUUAAAUAGCCGCGGUAACUCUGACCGUGAUAAAGUAGCAUAAUCACUUGUCACUUAAUUGGUGACUAGAAUGAAUGGUUUAACGAAUUUACAUCUGUCUCUAAGAGAAAUUUAGAAAAAUUGAAUUAACAGUGAAGAUACUGUUUAUUAAUUGAAAGACGAAAAGACCCUAUUGAGCUUUACUAUAUGUUUAUACAUUAUAACACAUAAUAAAGGUAUAAGACUAUAACCUGUAAACAAGUUAGUUUGGUUGGGGCGACCACCCCUAAAAAAGUAUCAGGGGAACUCUAAUGGUUUUAAUUUAAUAUAAUUAGCCUUACUGAAAAUAUACAUAUUAAACAGUUAUUAAAAUAUAGGAUAUAUUGACCCAUUGAUUUAUUUGAUAAAAUCAAUGAAUAUGAAAAAAGUUACCGUAGGGAUAACAGGGUAAUAUUUUCUAAGAGUUCAUAUUGAUGAAAAUGUUUGCCACCUCGAUGUUGAAUUAUGAUAUCCUAAAGAUGCAGCAGUCUUUAAGGGUUG
Molecule: ribosomal RNA, 580 nt
Filed under: Deepstaria enigmatica
Lineage: Eukaryota; Metazoa; Cnidaria; Scyphozoa; Semaeostomeae; Ulmaridae
Description: partial 16S large subunit ribosomal RNA
Rfam family: Bacterial large subunit ribosomal RNA
Source: RNAcentral